GGGCCCGCACAAGCAGCGGAGCAUGUGGUUUAAUUCGAAGCAACGCGAAGAACCUUACCCAGACUUGACAUCUCCUGAAUUAAUCGUAAUUGAUGAAAUCCCUUCGGGGACAGGAAGACAGGUGGUGCAUGGUUGUCGUCAGCUCGUGUCGUGAGAUGUUGGGUUAAGUCCCGCAACGAGCGCAACCCUUAUCAUUAGUUGCUAACAUUUAGUUGAGCACUCUAGUGAGACUGCCCGGGUUAACCGGGAGGAAGGUGGGGAUGACGUCAAAUCAUCAUGCCCCUUAUGUCUGGGGCUACACACGUGCUACAAUGGUGGGAACAAAGAGAUGCAAGACCGCGAGGUGGAGCCAAACUCAAAAACCCAUCCCAGUUCGGAUUGUAGGCUGAAACUCGCCUACAUGAAGCUGGAGUUGCUAGUAAUCGCGAAUCAGAAUGUCGCGGUGAAUACGUUCCCGGGCCUUGUACACACCGCCCGUCACACCAUGAGAGUCGGCAACACCCGAAGCCCGUGAGGUAACCUUUUGGGACCAGCGGUCGAAGGUGGGGUUGAUAAUUGGGGUGAAGUCGUAACAAGGUAGCCGUAGGAGAACCUGCGGCU
Molecule: ribosomal RNA, 600 nt
Filed under: uncultured Clostridium sp.
Lineage: Bacteria; Bacillati; Bacillota; Clostridia; Eubacteriales; Clostridiaceae
Description: bacterial SSU rRNA
Rfam family: Bacterial small subunit ribosomal RNA
Source: RNAcentral